GGCGGGGGCGGGGCGGGGGGCGUUCCCGGGCCCCCGCCCCGCGCGGCCCGCCGCCCGUGAUGAUGUCACAAUCGCGGCGGGCCCCGGCGUUCCCGGGUCGGCUUCGGGCGCAGAUCCGAGCGGGCAGCGGGCUCCUGAGUCAUGGACUUCCCUUGGCCCCUCCUCUACCACUCCCACCGCCGCGCCGGGCCCCCCCGCAGGGGCUAGCGCUCGCGCGGCGGCUCCGAGGGGGUGGGGCUGCUGGGAAUGGCUGUGCCCCCUUCGGCUCCUCUGCAGUGCUCGCCCUUUUACCUGAGGCGGCAGGCGCCGUGCCCGCAGUGCUCAUGGGGCAUGGAGGAGAAGGCGGCGGCCGGCGCGGGCUGCCGGGAGCCGCCGGGCGCCUCGAGGGCCGCCGCCGUCCCUUGCUUCGGCAUAUCCGUGGACCAGGACGACAUCCUCCCGGGCGCCCUGCGCCUCAUCCAGGAGCUGCGGCCACAUUGGAAGCCCGAGCAAGUUCGGACUAAGCGCUUCACCGAUGGCAUCACCAACAAGCUGGUGGCCUGCUACGUGGAGGAGGACAUGGGGGACUGUGUGCUGGUCCGGGUGUACGGGGAGCGGACGGAGCUGCUGGUGGACCGGGAGAAUGAGGUCAGGAACUUCCAGCUGCUGCGAGCACAUGGCUGCGCCCCCAAGCUCUACUGCACCUUCCAGAACGGGCUGUGCUACGAGUACAUGCGGGGCAUGGCCCUGGGGCCCGAGCACAUCCGGGAGCCUCGGCUCUUCAGGCUAAUCGCCUUAGAAAUGGCAAAGAUUCACACCAUCCACGCCAACGGCAGCCUGCCCAAGCCCACCCUCUGGCACAAGAUGCACAAUUAUUUCACCCUCGUGAAGAACGAGAUCAACCCCAGCCUUUCUGCAGAUGUCCCCAAGGUGGAGGUGUUGGAACGGGAGCUGGCCUGGCUGAAGGAGCACCUGUCCCAGUUGGAUUCCCCUGUGGUGUUUUGUCACAACGACCUGCUCUGCAAGAACAUCAUCUAUGACAGCACCAAAGGCCAUGUACGGUUCAUUGACUAUGAAUACGCCGGCUACAACUACCAAGCUUUUGACAUUGGCAACCAUUUCAAUGAGUUUGCAGGUGUGAAUGAGGUCGAUUACUGCCGGUACCCUGGGCGGGACACCCAGCUGCAGUGGCUGAGCUACUACCUACAGGCUCAAAAGGGGAUGGCCGCGACCCCCAGGGAGGUGGAGAGGCUCUAUGUGCAAGUCAACAAGUUUGCCCUGGCGUCUCACUUCUUCUGGGCACUCUGGGCCCUCAUCCAGAACCAGUUCUCCACCAUCGACUUUGAUUUCCUCAGGUACGCAGUGAUCCGAUUCCACCAGUACUUCAAGGUGAAGCCCCAGGUGUCAGCCUUGGAGAUGCCAAAGUGACCAGCUUCCCCAUCUCUCCCCUACCCAUGCCUGGCAGGACCUGUGCUCCAGGGUUCACUUCUGCUCUGGGGUCCGCGCCCUCGGACAAGGUGGGAGAGGGGACAGAGCCACCUCUGGAGCUGAGGGCAGAAAUAACCACUGUGAAGGCAGCUUCGUUCCUAGCUUCCUGGGUCCUUGAUGUCACAGCGUUGGAGACGGUUUGCAGUGGUGAGCAGGAGCUGGAUGGGACAGGGCCCCCCGGGUACCAUCCUGUGCCCCUACAGCCCUGGCCACCAGCUGCACCAAAGGACUUAAGCGGACAGGUACCAUCUCACUGCCUUAGAGAAAACUUCCUCAUUGCUCCAGUUCUCCGGGGGAGGGGGGAAGCUCAGGACACCCCUCCCCCUCAAAGCCUGGAGUCCUUUCACUGCCACCCCAGACUAACCAGCACCCCUGCCCCCUGGUUCCAAGGGCCAGGCUGUGGCAACCCCGGGGGGAGGGCAGGGCUCCACUCCCUCAGGCCUUCCUUAGGGUCUAGCAGGAGCUCGGACCCUCGGCCUUUGUAGGAGACAGAGCAGAGGCUCACGCCCCAGCCUCCCUGCCUCCCUGACCCUGUGGUGCCUCUCGGGGAGACAGGGCUCCAACCAGAGGUCUUCGUGGAGGGCUCUGUCCAUCCUAAGAGGAUGUGGGGCAUGUGAAUCCAGCAGCUGGAAAGGAGGGCAGGAUAAGGGAUCCUAUAGUAGGAGGAGGACAGUAUUGGCCUCAGUCUCCUCUAAGGCCACAGAGGACUUGGGAAGAGGGAAGGGAGACGAACUCAGGACUGGCAGGCAGGGUGUGAGGGUGAGCCAGGCUGGGAGUGUCCUGACGGACUGCCCUGAUUUGGUUAGGAACACAGUGUGCGGGGUGGUGUGAACCGGAGGGUGGGAGGCCAGGACAGAGGAAGUUAAGAUGAUGAGCAACUCUCCCCCCUGACCGCUAGAGGGCAGGCGCCACAGUCAGCCACGCUCCUCUUCUGGAGGACCAUCUGUGUCUUUCCCUGGGUGGCCAGCGAGGCUGGAGAGGACAGGGGGUUGUGAGGACAAGGAGAGGAGACCCAAAGCUCCGGGAAGGUAGGCUGGGAAAAACCAGCAAAGGCCAGUAGCCAGGACCCUCCCUAGAUCAAAAGGCCAGGACUUCAUUCCUUGACAGAAUCAACCACAUCUAACUUCUACCACCUCCCUGGUUGUGAACACACAACCUCUCUUAAUCCAACCCAAAUCUGACUUCCAUUGGAAUUGCCCUUCAGCUUUGCUGCUCCAUUCCACCUUAAGGGGAUUAAUUUUUGACCCUAUCAAUCAUUAUCAAUAUGCACUUUGAAAGUUGGUUAUCAGCCCUUUGAAGUCCAAUGGACUGUCCUCUUAGAUACAUGUUUGAAAUCCUCCUUCAAAACCUGAGGUCGCAGAGCCCUGAAGCACACCACUAGCUCCCUUGCUUCAUUAAUCAGUAUCCUGGGGGCCUCCUACAUGGGAGAAGGCUCAUGUGGAUGGCCCGAGCCCAGGAUGAGGGCCCACAGCUUUCAUGAGAUUUUCAAAGGGCUCCUUCUCCACAAGGGGACAAGAAUUGUGGGUAAAGCUUAGCCUCGGUGUUUUCAGAUGAGCAUGAUGAAGCCCAGAGGGGACACUGGACCCUCUGCCAAGGCCACGUGGCUACUUCUAGAGAGAACCCAAAUCUCCCUGACUCCCUACAGUGCUCUCGCUACUGCCUUUUUUAGGAUCUGGGUGGGCAAUCUGUGGAGGGUCUGGCUUACCUCCUUGAGGCAGGGGCAGUGUCUUCGCAGUACAGGCUCUGUGGGUGGUGGCAGUCACUCCAGAGGCUUGAUCUGGUCUUCCCUGGCCUCCCAGGUCCCAGGCCCGAAGCUCCCCAGUGUCGCCACAAGGGGGCAGUGGUGGCUGGGCUGGCGGCACAUGUAGAAAUUCUGGACCUGGGCCAGCCUCCCUCCCUCCCCCGCACAAGGGCCAGAUUCUGAAAUGGUCUGUCUUUAUUAUGCCAACAGAAAACAAAAAAAUCCCCCAAGUGUAAACAGGAGAAAUGUGCUGGUUAAGUUACUCAUCAUUAUCUUAUUAUUAACAAAAUAAAGCACUAUCUAUGUUUACAGUCAUAAAAAAAGAAA
Molecule: RNA transcript, 3535 nt
Organism: Prionailurus viverrinus (fishing cat)
Lineage: Eukaryota; Metazoa; Chordata; Mammalia; Carnivora; Felidae
Gene: ETNK2
Gene name: ethanolamine kinase 2
Exons: 9
Source: RefSeq, a predicted model, not a curated record